UACGGAGGGUGCAAGCGUUGGUCGGAAUUAAUGGGCGUAAAGCGCGUGUAGGCGGCAUCUUAAGUCUGGUGUGAAAGCCCGGGGCUUAACCCCGGAAGGGCACUGGAUACUGGGGGGCUUGAGUACAGGAGAGGAAGGUGGAAUUCCUGGUGUAGCGGUGAAAUGCGUAGAUAUCAGGAGGAACACCGGUGGCGAAGGCGCCCGGCUUGAACGCGUCCGACGGUGAGGGACGAAAGCUGGGGGAGCAAACCCG
This 253-nucleotide ribosomal RNA is filed under the name uncultured bacterium. Its description in RNAcentral is "partial 16S ribosomal RNA". It matches the Rfam family "Bacterial small subunit ribosomal RNA", at positions 524 to 776 of the family's 1533-position model. The record is from RNAcentral.